Molecule: transfer RNA, 72 nt
Filed under: Bos taurus (domestic cattle)
Lineage: Eukaryota; Metazoa; Chordata; Mammalia; Artiodactyla; Bovidae
Also listed under: 1 other name
Rfam family: tRNA
About the family: Transfer RNA (tRNA) molecules are approximately 80 nucleotides in length.
Source: Rfam by way of RNAcentral
UCCCUGGUGGCUCAGAUGGUAAAGCAUCUGCCUGCAAUGCAGGAGACAUGGGUUCGAUUCCUGGUCGGGAAG